This is a long non-coding RNA of Homo sapiens (human), 159 nucleotides long. Ensembl annotates it as CBR1 antisense RNA 1. Its record names the gene CBR1-AS1. NCBI's taxonomy places the organism in Eukaryota, Metazoa, Chordata, Mammalia, Primates, Hominidae. The record is from Ensembl.
GGAACAGAUUUGAGGACAUCCUCCAGCACGAUCAGUCUGGGAGAUAUGCGGAAAGAAUAAUCAUCUUACAGACACCAUGUACCUAUCACCUGGUAUAAGAAAGAAAUCCUUAGCAAUAAAGACGGAACCACGUAUGUCCUCCUCCCCUCACCCUCAGAG